UGAAAGAGUAAGAAAACCAAGGAUUCCACUGCCAAUCUCCCAUUUGCUACCAAGGGCAAAUAAAGCUAGAAAAUGAUUUGAUUAUGUUAACAUCGACUUCACCAACAUCCCAGACAAGUUUCUUUUUUUCCCCCUUUCAUUCAUUACAUAUAUCAACUUCAAAGCACCUAUCAUAAAUCAUGCAUAAUGUAAGGUUCUCGCAAGAAAAUAGGAAAAAAAAAACACCUACAAAUAGCAAUGGAUAACAUGACGUACGAACUACAAGACUACAUUAGCACCAGAAGAGAUGAAACUCAUCUUCCUAUCCCCCCUUCAUGCAUUUCAGCUCCACCACACCCCAUGU
This 343-nucleotide unclassified non-coding RNA is filed under the name Hevea brasiliensis (rubber tree). The record is from RNAcentral. Lineage: Eukaryota; Viridiplantae; Streptophyta; Magnoliopsida; Malpighiales; Euphorbiaceae.